UACGGGGGGAGCAAGCGUUGUUCGGAUUUACUGGGCGUAAAGGGCGCGUAGGCGGCCACUGCAAGUCGGUUGUGAAAUCUCCGGGCUUAACCCGGAAAGGUCAACCGAUACUGCAGGGCUAGAGUGCAGAAGGGGCAACUGGAAUUCUCGGUGUAGCGGUGAAAUGCGUGGAUAUCGAGAGGAACACCUGCGGCGAAGGCGGGUUGCUGGGCUGACACUGACGCUGAGGCGCGAAAGCCAGGGGAGCGAACGGG
Molecule: ribosomal RNA, 254 nt
Filed under: uncultured bacterium
Lineage: Bacteria
Description: partial 16S ribosomal RNA
Rfam family: Bacterial small subunit ribosomal RNA
Source: RNAcentral